RNAcentral lists this ribosomal RNA (506 nucleotides) under uncultured bacterium. RNAcentral describes it as "bacterial SSU rRNA". It matches the Rfam family "Bacterial small subunit ribosomal RNA", at positions 899 to 1397 of the family's 1533-position model. The record is from RNAcentral.
ACUCAAAGGAAUUGACGGGGACCCGCACAAGCGGUGGAACAUGUGGUUUAAUUCGAAGCAACGCGAAAAACCUUACCAGGGCUUGACAUCUGAAGAAUGCGAUGGAAACAUUGCAGUGCCUUCGGGAGCUUCAAGACAGGUGGUGCACGGUUGUCGUCAGCUCGUGUCGUGAGAUGUUGGGUUAAGUCCCGCAACGAGCGCAACCCUCGUCGUUAGUUGGUCAUAUCGGUACACUGAUAUGUACCUCUCUAGCGAGACUGCCGGUGAUAAACCGGAGGAAGGUGGGGACGACGUCAAAUCAUCAUGCCCCUUAUGCUCUGGGCUACACACGUGUUACAAUGGCUGGUACAACGAGUCGCCAAUCAGCAAUGAUGCGCAAAUCUCUUAAAACCAGUCUCAGUUCGGAUUGGACUCUGCAACUCGAGUCCAUGAAGUCGGAAUCGCUAGUAAACGCAGAUCAGCACGCUGCGUUGAAUACGUUCCCGGGUCUUGCACACACCGCCCGU